CUUAAAAAAAGAUACAAAAUGCUUUGUGUUUUGUUAUAUUUUACGGAUGAGGAUGCUGACAGUGAGGAGCCUGAUGAAGAAGACAUUGGAGCCAGAUCUCUGAAUGCAACCUCUGACAAUAAUGGUAUAAACAAAAACAAAAGCUGUGGAGGAGCUGCUGCAUCCACCAAAGAAAACGAGCUUGACCAACAGACAUAUAACAUCACAUGAAAAACUAAAGUGAUGCACAUUGUAUUGGACUUUCAAGGUAUUUGGUAUCGUGAUUCUGUGAGAUUAUCUCCCAAUGGCCAUAUCCUGUUUGUCCGCUUGACCGAGAGUGUAUGUGAAUGAAGACAUGUUUCUCAUGCUAACUAGGUCUAGUAGCCCCUUUUUGCCUGUGAUGGCUCUAGGUGCCCCAGCCCUAUUCUGUGAAUUGGUGGCCAUUGUUCUUGGUUCAAUCAAUGUCAGAGUCAAAUGUAAAUGUAUUGCCGUAGGGGUGGACCCUUCCUUAUUUAUAUGAUAAUGAAGUUGUCUGAGUAAUAUAGUUGUUAUGCUAAUUGGAUUAGGGGUAAUAGAAUUCAGAGUCUUCACCCACAGGAUGCUUUAGUUUCACCUGAAUGCUUUGUAAC
Molecule: long non-coding RNA, 608 nt
Organism: Myxocyprinus asiaticus (Chinese sucker)
Lineage: Eukaryota; Metazoa; Chordata; Actinopteri; Cypriniformes; Catostomidae
Exons: 3
Source: RefSeq, a predicted model, not a curated record